UUCAUCGUCAUAAAGGUUGCAAAUAAGCAAAGGCCUCCGAGAUCUUCCAAUCCGGACAAGAAACACAGACUAGUGUGUAACUGGUACGGUGCAGCCAUCAACCCGAGCAGCGUUUCUCCCACCAACCACUUUAUGAGCGCCUUGCACAAAUGUUGUGCAUGAGCUAUUUAAUAAAGCACCAUAGAGGGGAGACGGGGGUGAUUCGUUCAUGCCAGGGGAAACCAGAUUCUGUGCAGUGUGAGUACUUUUGCCACUUUGUUCGUGUUUGUACUUGAUUUACACUGGAUAUUGAAAGUAACGCAGUUGGCUUUCCUGCGAUUGGCUGGCAACCGGUUCAGGGUGUCCCCCGCUUACUGCCCGGAGACGGCUGGGAUAGGCUCCAGCGGCCCCCACGACCCCUGGUGAGGAUCAAGCGCUUCGGAAAAUGGAUGGAUGGAUGGAGUCGGCUUUCACCACAUAGGGGCAGUGCCGAGCCUGCUUCACACUUCCAAGAGUUGAGCCGCCGAGCAACUUGAUGUAUGAGUCCCGAGAUGUGGAUCCACUCCCCAGGUGGGCACCAUGUCAUAGGUUAACAAGGAGAUUCCAUCUGACUACACCUUCGACUGGCCGCCAUGCUACAGUCAUCCAUUAGUGAAACUACAGAUAUGUUCAAUGUUGCUAAUUUGGCUUGUAUACUGAAUCAUUACUUAUAUGAAAAACAGCUUUGUGAUGAAACAAAAAGUCAAUGACUUUUAUGGAUUUUCUGGUGGCCCACAAGGGAAGAUCCAAGCUUUUACUGAUCCUCAGCGGAAUCACAUCUGAACAUUCACAAUUUAAACUAAGAAAACUGUACUAAGAUGUGCCCGACUGGGAGCAGAAAGUGGGACAGCAACAACUGUGUCAUAAAUGAUGUCAUAAAUGAUUUUUGUUUUAUUGUUUACUAUCUUUCACAGUUUUUCACAUCUAGAAAAGCUCUAUCG
Molecule: long non-coding RNA, 959 nt
Organism: Hippocampus zosterae (dwarf seahorse)
Lineage: Eukaryota; Metazoa; Chordata; Actinopteri; Syngnathiformes; Syngnathidae
Exons: 3
Source: RefSeq, a predicted model, not a curated record